RNAcentral lists this long non-coding RNA (507 nucleotides) under Sus scrofa (pig). Its description in RNAcentral is "lncRNA (ENSSSCG00070006604.1)". The record is from RNAcentral. Lineage: Eukaryota; Metazoa; Chordata; Mammalia; Artiodactyla; Suidae.
AUGCUGUGCCCACCUCCAACUUUCCUGACGUCUCUUGUCAAUCCCAUGAGGAUCUGGGGGAACAGGUUUCUCUAUGGUCAUUAAACAAAAGGGAAUGACCAGCCGCAGGAACUUCACCAAGUACUGGAUACCACACCUGCUUUUCCAAGUCAGAUACAACCAUCUCCAUUCUAAACAGUCUACAUCUUUGAAGGACUGUGGCAGACCCAGGCUGGGGAUUAGUCACUGGGGUGACUCACAAACAGCAGCUUGCAGCGCCCAGAGGAGGCUCCCAUUUACAACUGAAGUCUGCCCUCUACUGGUCACAAGCAGCCCAAACCCACACCACAAAGCCACUGAAGAGUUUGCUUCUAAAAUCGUUUCUUCUCCAGGAACAUUUUGGAAAUUGCUACAAUUUAUUUAGCUAGAGAAAUACAAAGAAAUGACAUCUUCUGAAAAGUGUUCCUCUUUAAUUUUUUACUUUUUGAUGUUUUUAGGCUUUUUCCUUUUAUUUGACAAUAGCAGAAC